CUUAUUUCUUCUUCUGUGAUUUGCUGGUAUGUGUCUGUUUCCCAUCCCCUGCCCCCUUGCCACGUGCCUAUAGAAAAUAAAAGCUCUUCACAUUCUAGAUUAUUAAUGAUUUGUCAAUUAGAUUGCUGCAAAUAGCUUCUCUCAGUCUGUAAUUGAUUAUUUUACACCUUCUGGUAUUGUUUUGGUGAAAAUAAAUCUCAGAUUAUGAUUGUAGACACAUACGUCAAUCUUUUUUUAAUGAAUUUUUUUUUUGCAUCUAUCAAAGAAAUCUCAUUAUACUCUUAGGUUAUAAUGAUAAUUUUCUAUCUUCCCCUACACGUUAAAAAUAAAGUUUUACUUUUGAACUGUCUGUGGAAUUAAUUAAUUAAUUAAUUUUGUAUAGGAUGAGAGGUAGAGAUUCAGUUUUAAUUUUUUUUUUGCCAUGGAUAACCUAUUAUCCUGAUACUAUUUACUGAAUGGUACAUCCUUUUCACACUCAUCAGUGAUGCCACCUCUGGGAAUUCAAGCUGCCAUGUAUUCUUGGCCCUGGUUCUGAGCUCUCAUGUGUAAUUCUAUUGGUCUAAUUGUUCAUCACCACACCUAGUUCACACUGGUUUAAAAACAGUCUUUUAACUUCCACUGCUGCUUUUGAGGAUCCCAAAAUGUUUAUAAUUCCAUUCCCUUUAAUAAUCCAUUCGGCAAAUAAUAAGCACUUGCUAUAUGCCCAGAAAUAGCCCAGGUACUAGACAGAGAGUAUCAAUGACUAAGGUAAAUUUUCCUUGAGAAGCUUACAUUCCAUAGAACAAUCGGAUAAUUAACAAAUAAAUCUAUAAUAUAAUGUUAGACAGUGAUAGAUAAUAUAUAGAAAUUUAAACUAAAUAAGAAGAUAAGAGAGCAAGAACAGCCUAUUUUAUCUUUUUAAAGUUUUUUAAUGUUCAUUUUAUUAUUUUUGAGGGAGAGAGAAACAGCAUGAAUGGGGGAAGGGCAGAGAGAGAGGGAGACACAGAAUCUGAAGCAGGCUCCAGGCUUCAAGCUGUCAGCCCAGAGCCUGACAUGGGGCUCGUACUCACAAACUGUGAGAUCAUGACCUGAGCUGAAGUUGGACACUUAACUGACUGAGCCACCCGGGUGCCCCAAGAACAGCCUAUUUUAAAUAGAAUCAACAGAAAAAGACUCUCUUUGGACAGAAUGCUCAAUUUGAGAAUAAUGAACUGAGAAAACAAGCCAUGUGAUUGUCUGUAGUAAGAAUAUUUCAGGCACGAGGAAGCAAGUACAAAGGCCUAGAGAUGGAAAUGAGUAUCUUUGUGAAACCGAAGUAUGGCUGCUUUUGCUUCAGUGGACUAUACAAGGGGGGAGAAGGAAAAACGAGGCCAGAGAGGGAACCAGAAACCUUAUUUUAGAGGGUUUUGUAGGUUAUAGUAAAGAAUUUGGAUUAUGUUAAAUGUGUUUGGGAGAUUUUGGAGCAAGAGACUGAUAACAAUCAGCUAUACAUGUUAAUAAUAUUGCUCAGGAUGCUGCAUGGAGACCUCUUACAGGAGAGCAAGGUUGGAAGUUGGGGAAGUUUGGAUGUUAAAUAUUCUAGCAACAGAUGGUUUGGCUGAGACUAGGACAGUUGCAGUGGAGGUGGAGAGAAUUAGACUUGCGAUAUAUAUUUAAGUGGAUUAUAUAGGACAUCUGAGAGAAUGUGAAAUAUGUGGACAAUGACUGAAAAGGAGCUUCGUUUUGUGAGCAAUGGUUAGUUUAAUUUCUGAGCUAAGAGAGACUAGGGGAGGAGCAUGUAUGGAGAUACAGGAAAUGAAAACAUUAUUUUUUGGGCCUCUUAAGUUUGAGGUAUCUAUUAGAAAUUCAGAUGGAGACACUGAGCAGGCAGUUGAAUAUCUGAGUUGGAGAUCAGGUGGAAGGCUGGGGCCAAUGGAUAAGGUCACCUAAAUGUGAAUUAAAUUUUUUUUUAAUGUUUAUUCAUUUUUGAGAGAUAGAAUGUGAGCGGGAGAGGGGCAGAGAGAGAGGGAGACACAGAAUCCGAAGCAGGCUCCAGGCUCUGAGCUGUCAGCACAGAGCCCAACGCCGGGCUCGAACUCACAAACCAUGAGAUCAUGACCUGAGCUGAAGUUGGAUGCUCAACCGACUGAGCCACCCAGGAGCCCCGGGUCACCUAGAUGUGAAUUUAAAGAGCAGAAGAUUGGACUGGAACCCUGAGUCCUUCCAAUGUUCAGAGGCAGUGAAGAUGAAGCACAUCCAGCCAAGGAAACUAAUGGAUCCAAUGAAGUCAGAGGCAGACCAAGAAAACAGCUGUCUGGAAGCGGAGUCAAGAAACUGCUUCAAGGAAUGGGUAGUAAAUCCACUGCGUCAGAUGAGCUUCAAAUGUGCUAAUAUCUUAGAGGAGGACGUGUUCCACUCUUACCGAGAGCAGAAAUGAGCAGCGUGAAGGUAAGAUAGAAUAUCUCAGGCAGGAAACCAUUUAGCUGUUUUCCAAGAAAGCAUUCAUUUAGGAAACUCCCUGGAAUAUAUAUCAACAAGAAGUCACAAACUCCAAAGCUGGUACACAUCUCGCCUGUCAUUUGCUCCAAGCAAAUCCAUGACAUAAGGAACAAACUGUUUUAACAAGAAUUGGUCUCUCUUGCAUUUAGAGAAAGGAUUCUCUAUCACUAUCCUUAUUGCCUAAAAAAUAAUAUUAACAUUCCUGUUUUCCUUCCAAGGUCGAAUGACUCCUUCAACUUCUACAUUUUCAUGUUUAAAUAUUUUUUUUCUUUCCAUUAUAUAUUCUCUGCCUAGUGAAAACGAUUUUUUAAAAAUCAGUUGUAGUUCCAUAAAAGUAGUAUAUUUCCUUUCAGAAAGUAUCUUAUAAUUUUGCUUUGAGAGUUUAGUAAGCUCCAAACAGCAUGCAUGGCAUGACACAUAGGAAAUCCAGGUUAGGUAUCAACUCCUCAGCCUGCUGUCUCUUACCUUCCAGUACCUUUCAGUACACAUUCGAUUAUUGCUUUUCCUGUAUACUUGCCGGGCUCAUAGGGAAAUAAGCAAGAACUCAUAAAGUCUCCCAGGCAGUGGGUAGUGGAGUUAGGAGGUCUGUCUAGCUCCAAAUCCCAUACUCGAAUUUCAACUGCUGGAAGUGAAUAUUAUCCACUUAAUUCACAUUCAUUACCUACUUGAUACACUCUUAGUGUUGUCCUCUAAUUUGUUUCUGGACCAAGAGAACACCUCUCAUUCAGAGACAAAAAUCACCACUAUUUUACCCCUACCUCCUUUUAAGUGGAAAAUGACCGGGAGUGUGAACUUUCUGAAGACUAGAUAUUUUGACAAGUCCCUUUCAUAUAAAAAAAGAACAAUACUAGGAAAUAAAUGACAACUUCCUAGGUAAGGUCUUCUAGAAAAGUCCAGUCAUUUUUCAACUUUGGGAAGUUACAUAAACCUUAAAGAAACUAACUUUUAUUCGAAUAAGAAGGGAAACAUUUCAUUACACAAGGUGCCUCAUUCCAGAUUACAAAACCAGGAGUCAAGAAACAGGCUCAUGAGUAGAUUUAGCAAAUUUGAAAAAUAAUGAAAAUAAGAGUACAUGAUAUAAAUAAAGGAUACCAAACCUAAUCUGACCAGUGAAGAUUUGUCAUGUAGAUUGCAAAUUUACUAGAGAGAAUAGGGCCGUUUCAAAAACCAUUAGCCCCAGUGAUCUCAUUCCGUGGGGAUAAUCUACACAAAAGUAACAAGUGAGGACUUGAUCACUCCUCAUAUCCCCAGGCUCCCACCCAUCGGAUAACAUACUGUCUCACCUAAAAGUAUCUUCUAGGGGUGCCUGAGUGGCUCAGUCAUAAGCAGCUGAUCCUUGAUUUUAGCUCAGGUCAUGAUCUCAUGGCUUGUGGGAUUGGGAUUGAGCCCCAUGUUGGGCUCCAUGAUGACAGUGUGGAGCCUGCUUUAAAUUCUCUCUCUCUCUCUCUCUGCCCCUCCUCCCUCGCUCUUGUGCACAUGAGAGCUCGCUCUUUCUCUCUCAAAAAUAAACAAACUUAAAAAAUGUUAAAAAGUAUCUUUUAAUUAAUAGUUUUACUUUGAUCUGAGUAUAAAUUAUAAGGGUGCCUGGGUGGCUCAGUGGGUUGAGUGUCUGACUUUGUCUCAGGUCACGAUCUCACAGUUCGAGUUUGAGCCCCCGGAGCAGGCUCCGCACGGACAGUGUGGAGCCUGCUUGGGAUUCUCUCUCUGUCCUCUUUCUCUGCCCUUUCUCCGCUGGUGCUUUCUAAAUAAAUAAAUAAAUAAAUAAAUAAAUAAAUAAAUAAAAGCCUUGUCUUUUAACCAUUUCAACUUUUGGCACGACUUUAAAAUACACAAUUCUCUUGGCAGGUUGCCAACAGUUGCAUACUGCGGUGACACACACUAGUUUGAGCCGUCGGUAGUGAAAGCUGCAUUUAUGGCAUUCACCUGACAGAUGAUGCUAUGAAUUCGGGGAUUCUAUUUGGUGUUCGGAAUCAAGGGGUAAUGCCAAGGUAAUGUUGCAAAAGUAAAGCAAAUUUUCUGCCAGUGUAUUUUUAAGGGAAAGGCUCGGUGGCUUCGGUAACUCCUCGUUUAUUCAAAUAACUGCUUACAUCGCUGACCUUUGUUUCUUUAAUUUCCAUGAAGCCAUCAUUAAACAUGGAGCAAAGACACCAACUGUUUGUAAUUGGAUACAGUUAGCCACAUCUAUGGUAAGGAGAAAAAAAAAUGCUUGUGGAAUUUUGCACUAAAAACCUGAAGUUCUGACUUAAUCCUGAGCUCUAGUCUAUAUUAACAGAAUGCUUCUUUUUCUCAGUAACCUGAAUGUGAGAUUCAUGAAUGGAGGUUUUCCCUGUUUUACAUUUUUUUAAUGUGUAUUUAUUUUUGAGAGAGAGAGACAGAGCAUGAGCAGGGGAGGGGCAGAGAGAGAGGGAGACACAGAAUCCGAAGCAGGCUCCAGGCUCUGAGCUGUCAGCGCAGAGCCUGACGCAGGGCUCCAAUCCACAAAUGAGAUCAUGACCUGAGCCAAAGUCAGACACUCAACUGACUGAGCCACCCAGGCGCCCCAAUGGAGGUUUUUCUUAAUCUGUGGUUCAUAAAACCUCGCCCCACAUUGCCAAGCACAAAGGAGCCAUUUUUGUUGAAAGAAUAAAUUUGGAAUCUAUUUAUAUAUGUAAAACUUGAUUGAUGAUGAUUGUGGCCAAUGGAUUUUUAAGGAGGACCAAUAGCAAGACCUAAGGGAAUCUAUGAGGGCUGACAAGUGCAUGUAUUCCUCAGAUUUACUAACACCGGCUUAAUAUCCUGGGCACCUGUUCUUUCUAUACAGCAAUAUGUCAUUUCCUGGAUAUUGUUUGUUUUCAUAAAAAUAUAAUGAAAAUCAAUUAUUUUAAAGAACCACUUAUGUCCUAAACCAACUAGGUUAUAUAUUAGUUCUCCAUUGUUGUCUUGGAGAUGUUUGUUUUCUACAUCUGGAUAAAAGCACUACCAUGUUAUUAGGAAAGUUUCAUGAUAUAAAAAAAAAAAAUAAGAUUUCGGUUAAGUGUUGCCCUCUGUGCAAGGAGAAUUAGUUAGGUGGCUGCUUACAGCUCUCCUAAGCAGGAAGCAUGAAGUCAACAUAAAUAGACUGAGCUUAUCAUAGCACAGUAUCCCAGUUCUGACUGACCCUCGUGAGUCAGUGAGGAUCCCGGCCUGUCCUUUCCCAUUAGGCCAUAAUGCACACUCUAGUUAUCUAAAUAUUAAGUGUACAUAUACAAAGCAUCACCUCAAGCACAUAAGAGAGGCAACCGAUUGUUCUCUCAUGGUAUACUAGUUAUUUACAGACUGACCACAUGUUUAUUGAGUGUUAGACUAUGAGCCAGAUGUUAUAUUACAUCGGUUAUGUCUACGAAAUGCCAUUUAAGAAAUUACCAAUAGUUUCUCUGCCCUUAACAGUAGGUGUGUGAAAUGAGACAAUCCAAAAGUUAUUACAGGAACAAGUAAAAUGCUGUUGGUGUCACGAUAGGUAUAAGAUGGCAUGGGGAUUAAGGGAGGAAAUAAAUCACAUUUUAUUUUGAUGACUAGGGAAGCCUAAUAUUGAUUUAGUUGGGCCUUAAAGGUUGAGUAGAAUUUACAGAUGGAAAUUUAAGGAGACAUAUUUUAUGGAAGUAAUUUGUAACUCAUAUAUGGAGGUACUGAUGAGAUAGUUGAAUCAUCUCAUGGCAAAUGAUGAUUCAUCAUAGUCCCUGUUUAUCUCUGGAUAAAGAGAGAAUGUGGCUCUGCCACAGUUUACAAAAUAUUCCUAUACAUUUGCAGAAAUAAUGGAAUCCAUUGCCUAAAUUAUUGAUGUUCUAGGGUGGUUCUGUUAAAAAAAGCAACAACAAAAAAAAACUUUAAUACUUCAAACCAAAUAGUUAUCUAGAGAUUUUCCAAUCCAAGUCUAAUCAUCUCCUAUAUUUAGACUAUUUAAUUGUUCCAAAUCAAGAAGGUUAGGAGAGGAACAGAAGGAUAAUUUGAAUUUAGUCAGUUUUGUUAUUUGUUAGCUCUGGUAAAUGUUCUGGUGCAGAAGGUGAUAGGAAAUAAUGAUCUUCAGUAAUUGUCUAUGGGUAAUGGUAAGUGGCAGAAUGUGGCAUCUGACAGCAGAAUGUUGCAUCUGUGGCUGUUUCUGGGACUCCAAGAUUAUAUUUCUAUAUCAAAAAUAGCUUUAUGUGAGCUCCACGGGUUAAAGAGUCCAUGCACACAUCUGUGUCUUUUAAUUAUCCAUGCUGCAACUGUCCUGCUUUACGAUGAAUAAAUGAGAGCUAUUUUUAAAUCUAUAUUUAUGUUCCCUAAACAGACUCUCCUUGAAAGAAAAAAAAUUGCAGGGCUCCUGAGCACUCUGAAAGAAUUUGCUUUUGUUCUCUGAGUAAAACUUUAAAGUUUCCCUGAUGUUUUCAGUUUAUCUUCUGGCUGUUUACAAUCUGAUCACAGAGUAAAAGUGUUUUCCAGGUCGCAUGUGUUCUAUACCAAUUGACUGAAUCAGUCAAUUCAAUCAGUAUUGACUGAAUAUUCAGAAUCAUUUACUGCUUAAGGCCAAACUGAUAUUCUUUACUGAGGGACAGUAAGAAAAUGGAGAGGUCACCCACAUUUAUUGAUAAGAAGAGAAUAUUUUACGGAUGCCACUUUCCUCAAAUUUAUCUCUUAAAUUGAUAAAAUUAUAACCUAAGUUCUAGUACAGUUACUCGUGGGAUUCGAUAAAUUGAAUUUAACAUUUGUAGUAAAGACCACGGUGCUAAAAUUAGCCCAGACUUUUGCAAAAAAAGGAUGAGGAGGAAAACAAGGGAGAGUUUUCCUUAAAAUAUAUAAAGACAUAGUAGAAAAUUAUAGGUUUUUAAAAAAUUUUAUUGUUUAUUUAUAUUUGAGAGUGAGAGAGAGAGAGUCAUAGCAUGAGAAGCAGAGGGGCAGAGAGAGAGGGAGACAGAGAAUCCAAAGCAGGCUCCAGGCUCCGAGCUGUCAGCACAGAGCCUGACACUGGGCUCGAACCCACGAACCAUGAAAUCACGACCUGAACCGAAGCUGGAUGCUUAACCAGCUGAGCCACCCAGGCACCCCUAGUAAAACAUAGUUCUUAAAAGCAUGUUUUAUGAGCACAGUGAUAGACAGACUGACAAUUGCAACAAAAUAGAAAACCCAGAAUCAAGUCUUGUCUGUCUGGAGUUGUGUCGGUUGACAGAGAGGAUGUACCAUGGUCAACUUCAGGAGUGGGAUUAUUCAACAAAUGAGCUUCAGGUAAUAGUUUAUAGGAAAGAAAAAAACUCUCAACCUCCUGCCAUCAAAAAUCCACUCGAAAUAGAUUAGUAGUUUAUAUUUCAAAGGCAGAAAUUUAAAACUUUUAGAAGAAACUAUGUAUUUCUCAACUUGUUGUAGGGGAUGGUUUCUUAAACAAGAUACAUAAGGGCCAACCACAAAAUAAAAAUAGUAAAUUUUACUUUCCUAAAAUUGAGAACUUUGAAAAAUUGGGUGGCUCACUAUGUUGAGCACCCAACUCUUGAUUUGGGUCGUGAACCCAGGAUCAUAGGAUCCAACCUAACCCCAUGUUGGGUUCUGCACUGAGCACUGAGCUUAAGAUUCUCUCUCUUGCCCUCUGCCCCUCUCCCAAAUUUGUGCAUGUUUUUCCUCUCUAAAAAAAUAAAUAAAUAAUAACUUUUAAUUCUCAAAAGUCACUUUAAACAAAGUAAAUUAAAUCUCUUUUUCUCCUGUUUAGUUCUCAUAUAUUAAUUUAAUUAUUAGAUCAAUCACAGAACCUAGAAGGGAAGAAGGAAAACAUUGUUGGUCCAUUCAAGGAAAAUAGGAGAAUUGCCACUGACAGGGCAAAGAGUAUAAUUUGGAAAAUGAAUUGUGGAAAUAUUAUCAAGAUUCACUGAAAGAUGAAUAAGUGGCAACUGAGAGGAGUGUAUAGAAAACUAUCAGAAGCUCAUGGUUUUCUCCAGUCCUAUCCCCAAACCUGCGAGCGGAGAAUGUACAUGCUGAAGUUUCUAAGUUACAGCUUCAUGAAGCUAGAGGUGGAGUGAGGGGAGAGGCACGGGGGUUCUUGAAGUAUUUGCCAUCAACACCGACUAUGGUAUUUGGACAAGUGAGGAAACCAAAACCGGAGGGGCAUAUGGGCUGGUGAAUAGGCACGGAUUGAGGAAAUAAAAGCUUAAUGUGGACAAACAAUAGGUUUAAUAGUCGUAAGUAAGUCAGAAAGUACAGAAGUUGAGAUCAGAAGAUUGAAGUUUCAAGAGUUCUUCUGAUUGUGAAGACGUGUGAUGAUGUGUUUCCUGUUAAUGUGAGUGAAGGCGGAGGAUUUUGGAACUUUGGAGUUAAAAACUUACAAGUCAAGAAGGUUUGAAGAGCCCCUUAUGAAAUCAGAGGAUUAUGGCUGAGACAUCUUUUUAUGUCACUCUAAGAGGAGCUUUAAAAAUUACCUCUGAAAAGAUAUGAAAAAAAAUUGUAUUUCAGUAUCCCUUCCUUUUAUUUAAUAUGUCUCCACUUUAUUGGUUUUUAAAUGUCAGAGUGGCUCAUUGCCCAAACUUCAAAAUGGGGUUCUCAUUUUGUGGAGGUAACUCAUUACACUUGCAACUGCUUGGUAUGUGUUUGAUUUAAACACAUAAAUCCAGAAUUAAAAUGAAGAUAUUGGCUUAAGAAGGUGGCAUUUGAAAGCAGCAUGAAGAGUGCAGAGGUAUGCAUUUGGGGUGGAAGGAGGUUGCUUGUCUCUUAUCUUGAAGGUAAUUAGAGUUCCCCAAAGACAGAAAAGUCAAUUCAUUCUAAAUCAAAAUAAUUUAGUUGCUAUUGCAUUGAGUAAGCACAAAACCACCAAAAGGAUCUCUAGAAUGGUACAUAUUCUCAUCUUCUACUUAAAAUAAUGUGUAUAGCACUGUCAAAUUACAAGUGUUGAGUAUGUCAAGAAUGUUGACAGAUGAUGACACAUAAUAUGUGUAAAGCUUCUGUCACUACCUUAAUGCUUCAUACAAAAUAAUUAUUUUUAGUAACAAGUCUAUUUAAAAUGAGUUAGCACCUUUUUAAUUUAAAUUUUAAUUAAUUAAUAUACAGUGCAAUAUUGGUUUCAGGAGUAGAAUUCAGUGAUUCAUCAUUUACAUACAACACGCAGUGCUCAUCACAACAUGUGCCCUCCUUAAAACCCAUCACCCACCUAGCCCCUCCCCCACCCACCUCCCUCCGUCAACCCUGUUUGUUCUCUAUCAUUAAAACCAAUAGAGAUUGGUUUGUUUCCCUCUCUUUAUCCCCACCCCUUCCCAUAUAUUUAUGUUUUGUUUUCUUAAAUUCAUAUAUGAGUUAAAUAAUAUUUAUCUUUCUCUGACUGACUUAUUUCACUUAGCAUAAUACAUUCUAGCUCCAUCGACGUCCUUGCACAUGGCAAGAGUUCAUUCUUUUUGACGGCUGAGUAAUAUUCCAUUGUAUAUUUACAUACCACAUCAUCUUUAUCCAUUCAUCAGUCAAUGGACAUUUGGGCUUCUGCUCCAUAGUUUGGCUAUGUUGAUAAUGCUGCUAUACACAUCAGGGUGUAUGUACCCCUUCAAAUCUGUAAUUUUGCAACCUCUGGAUAAAUACCUAAUAGCACAAUUGCUGGAUAUUAGGGUAGUUCUACUUUUAGUUUCUUCAGGAACCUCCACACUAUUCUCCUGAGUGGCUGCAUCAGUAUGCAUUCCCAACAGUGCAAGAGUGUUCCCCUUUCUCCUCAUCCUUGCCAAAACUUGUUGUUUGUUGUGUUGUUAAUUUUAGCCAUUCUGACAGAUGUGAGGUGGUAUCUUAUCAUGGUCUUGAUUUGUAUUUCCCUGACGAUGAGAGAUGUUGAGCAUCUUUUCACGUGUCUGUUAGCCAUCUGGAUGUCUUCUUUGGAAAAGUGUGUAUUCAUGUCUUCUAUCCAUUUCUUAACUGGGUUGUUUGUUUUUUGGAUGCUGAGUUUGUUAAGUUCUUUAUAUAUUUUAGUUGGAUAUGUCAUUUGCGAAUAUCUUCUCCCAUUCCAUCGGAUGCCUUUUAGUUUUCUUGAUUGUUUCUUUUGCUGUGCAGAAGCUUUUUAUCUUGAUGAAGUCCUAACAGUUUAUGUUUGCUUUUGUUUCCCUUGCCUUCAGCAAUGUGUUUAGUAAGAAGUUGCUCUGGCUGAGGUCAAAGUGGUUGCUGCCUGCUUUUUCCUCCAGGAUUUUGAUGGCUUCCUGUCUCACAUUUAGGUCUUUCAUCCAUUUUGAACUUAUUUUUCUGUAUGAUGUUAGAAAGUGGUCCAGGUUCAUUCUUCUGCAUGUCGCUGUCCAGUUUUCCCAACACCAUUUGUUGAAGAAACUGUCUUCUUCCCAUUGAAUAUUUUUUACUGCUUUGUUUUUUUAAAAUUCUUUAAUGUUUAUUUAUAUUCGAGAGAGAGAGAGUGAGAGAGAAAUAGAGAGAGAGAAUGUGGGGGGGGGGGNNNNNNNNNNNNNNNNNNNNNNNCAGGCUCCAAGCUGUCAGCUUGGAGCCCAACACAAGGCUCAAACCCGUGAAGUGUGGGAUCAUGACCUGAGCUGAAGUCAAACACUUAACCGACUGAGCCACCCAGGCACCCCUUCUUUCUUGUUUUGUUGAGGACUAGUUAACCAUGUAGUUCUAGGUCUGUUUUUGGGUUCUCUAUUCUGUUCCAUUGAUCUGUAUGUCUGUUUUCGUGCCAGUACCAUACUGUCUUGAUGACUACAGCUUUGUAAUAUAGCUUAAAAUCUAGAAUCAUGAUGCCUCCAGUUUUGUUUUUCUUUUCCAGGAUUGCUUUGGCUAUUUGGGGCCUUUUGUGGUUCCAUACAAAUUUUAGGAUUGUUUGAUCUAGCUCUGUGAAGAAUGCUGGUAUUAUUUUGACAGUGAUUGCCUUAAAUGUGUAGACUGGUUUAGUAGAGACAUUUGAAAAAUGUUUGUUCUUUAAAUCCAUGAACGUGGAAUGUUUUUCCAUUUUUUUGUGUUCUCUUCAGUUUCUUUCAUAAUUCUCUUAUAGUUUUUAGAGUAUAGAUCUUUUACUUCUUUAGUUAGUUUUAUUCCUAGAUAUCUUAUUUUUUUGGCGCGAUUGUAAAUGUUAUUGGUUCCUUGAUUUCUUUUUCUGCUACUUCAUUAUUGGUGUAUAAAAAUGCAAUAGAUUUCUGCAUAUUGAUUUUAUCCUGCGACUUUGCUGAAUUCAUGUAUUAGUUCUAGCAAUUUUUUGGUGGAGUCUCUCACGUCUUCUACAUCGAAUAUCAUGUCAUCUGCAAAUAGUGAAAGUGUGACUUCUUUCUUGCUGAUUAGUAUGUCCUUUAUUUCAUUUUGUUGUCUAAUUGCUGAGGCUAAGAUUUCCAGUACUAUGUUAAAUACUAAUGGUGAGAGUGGUCAUCCUUAUCUUGUUCCUGACCAAAAAGGAAAGGAUCUCAGUUUCUCCCCACUAAGGGUGAGAUUAGCUGUGGGAAUUUUGUAUAUGUCUUUAUGAUGUUGAGGUAUGUUCCAUCUAUCCCUACUUUGUUGAGAGUUUUGAUCAAGAAUCAAUGCUGUUUUUUGUCAAACGCUUUUCCUGCCUCUAUUGAAAGGAUCAUCUGGUUCUUAUCCUUUCUUUUAUUAAUGUAAUGUAGUACACUGAUUGAUUUGUGAAUAUUGAACCAACCUUGCAGCCUAGGAAUAAAUUCCACUUGGUCAUGGUGAAUAAUUCUUUUACUAUACUGUUGGAUUCAAGUCAUGGUGAAUAAUUCUUUUACUAUACUGUUGGAUUCAAUCUGCUACUAUCUUGUUGAGAAUUUUUGCAUCCAGCUUCAUCAGGGGUAUUGGCCUGUAAGUCUCCUUUUUAGUGGGAUCUUUGUCUCAUUUUGGAAUCAAGAUAAUGUUGUCUUCAUAGAAUGAGUUUGGAAACUUUACUUCCAUUUCUAUUUUUUGGAAGAGUUUGAGGAGAAUAGGCAUUACGUCUUCUUUAAAUACCUAGUAGAAUUCUCCUGGGAAUCCAUCUGGCCCAGGGUUCUUAUUUCUUAGGAGAUGUCUGAUUACUGAUUCAACUUCUUUGCUGUGUGAGGUUUGCAUUUCAGUUAUAGCUUUUUUUUUUAUUUCAGUCUGACUAGUCUUUAGGUCUUUGAUCUCUACAGCAAGGGUUUAUCCGGUGUCUUCUAUCCUUUUUACAAGUUCAGCUAGUAGUCUUAUGAUAGCUGUUCAGAUAUAUUGCUUAUAUAUGUUUUGAGCAAGUCCCUGGCUGUGAUUUCUUCUUGACCUUUCUUUUGGGGAGAAUUCCUCCAUCUUGUCAUUAUGGGUAAGUUUCUGUCUUCCAUUUGUUUUAAAAGCUUGUUAUGUUUCCUGUACCUGGGAGUAAUGCUAUAUUAAAAAGGGGUCAUGCAGUGUCCAAGGCCUGGCACUUCAGGAAGUGGUUUUGGUGUAUGUUGUGUGAACUCUGCUGUUGUGUUUUGGCUUCUCUUUCCCACUGGUAAGUCCUCUGCAGAGCUCCUCCUCACUUACAGUGGGGAGGGUUUGGACUUGUAACUAGGUGUGCUUUGAUUUGUUUGUUAAAGUAAGGCUGGAAAAAGUGGGAAAAGGCCUGAUCCCAAAGAAAGAGAAAAGGAAAGGGAACCAAGGAAACCAAACAGAGAAUAAAAAACUAUAGGGCUGAUUCCAAAGAAAAACAAAAGAAAGAAAAAAAGAAAAAAGAAAGAAAAAGAAAAGGAAAAAAAAGAAGCUUAAUCCAAAAAAAAAAAAAAAGAGAGAGAGAGACAAAAGGAAAUUAAACAAACAAACAAACAAACAACCUAUAAGCCUAUUCGAAAGUAGGCUUAAGAUAAAAAAGAAAAACAAAAAGUAAGCCUGGUCCUAUUUCCACCAGAACUGCAGGUGACACUUUGAAGCACUCUAUUUUCUGUACACUUAGUGGCUGUAGGUGCUGCCUGUGCAGAUCUUCUGGAGGAGAGGCCCACUGCAUUGGCUCAUAGUCAGUCUUGUCCCAGUAAAUAAGCAGUUGCCAGGCACAAGGGAGCAAGGUAUGGUGUCCACGGGUCCCACCUCCACUGGAGGCUGGUGUGUUGCUGUCUGAAGUCUCACCAGGUUAGUGUCACCCCAAUCUCGUGUCCCUGGACAGGGGAUCUUACCCUUCCCUCUCGCCCGCUGUUCAGGCAGCCCUCACAGAAUAGCGAGGGCGGUCAGGUCACCCUGCACCACAGCUUUCCUACAUUUUUUCUUUGGCAUGAAGUUCGGAAUCAAAACUCAAAGUCUUAAAGGACCCAGCACUGUGCAGACUCUCUCCCCUCCUCUGGAUUAGAGCCUCUCCACACUGUGUCAGAAGUCCUUUAUCCUAGAAAUAUAGUCCUGUACCCGCAUGGUGCAUGGACUCUAUCAUGUAGCGCCACUAAAAGCAGCAAUAAGGUUAUAUGCCCUCUGGGCAUGCCUCUGUCCUCUGCCGGUGAAAGGCCUUUUGCUGGCAUCUAUAGAGUCUUUUGUUCUUGGAGAGGAAAGAUCCCCUCUUUCAGAAGUAUUCCGGGAAGGGGAAUGUUCUCUCCCAGUGCGCCCUGGAGAUUCCUACACCACACCAUGCACUCUGGGGCCAGCUUCCUCCUUUUCCUCAGGAGUGCACAGCAGAACUCUACUCCAGAGACAGUCUUGCAUGUUCAAAACCUCCAAGUUUGAGCUCCACCUGCUGUUUGUAAAAAAAUCUGCAAUUCUCAGUACCUCUGGCUCCCCAGUCCAUGGUCCAGAGAGGUAUUUCUCUUGAGUGAACCUGAUGCUACACUCUUUCAACCCCUCUCUCUUUCUCCCCCUUUGUCUCUCCCAUAGAAAGAGUCCCUUGCACCUCCGUGGCACCUCCAUUUUUCUUUUCCCCAGUUCACUUCCAUGCACCUCGCACCUGCCACCCUCUCUCCCUGCAAACGUGGAUAUCAUUUUGCAAGUCUGCAGAUCAAUUUCCUGGGUGUUCCAAGUAAUCUGACUCAAUACAGCUGUGUUUGAGGGUCGAGGAAAGCCCAGGGUCCCUCUAUUUCUCCCCCCCAUCUCAACUCUUCCUUCUAACAUCUUUCUUUUACGUGGAGACAUUUUUUUUUCCCUUACACCAUUCCUUAACCUUACAGCGUCGAGAUUCAGAUUACGAAGAAUUACAAAAAUGUGUUAUGGCCUAUCCCCUGGUAGAGAUUGCUAGACACAAUUGUUGAAGGGCAUGAACUAAUGCAAGAGUGUCUUUAAGAAUUUACACAUCCUGUACAGGACCAGUGUAGCACAUUCUGACCAGAUUGCAAAAGUAGAAUGAAAUAAGCUCAAAUUUGAUAUUUUCCAAAAUAAUGGACAAGUAUCUCAGCUUUAGCAGGCCAUCACUUUUGUGUGUGUGUGUGUGUGUGUGUGUGUGUGUGCGCGUGCGCGCGCCCUGGAUGUUUUGUGUUUUUUUUAUAUUAUAAAGACAAAUCAAAUGUGAAAGAUUUUUAUGGAAUACAUCUUUUUAGUUCUAUGUAACUACACUGUUAGCAUUUGCAAAUGAAUAUGGAAAGUAAAAUAUAUAUAUAUAUUUCACUGAUGAAAUGAAGUGAACAAUUGUAACUGCUAAAUAAAAACUUCAGGGGUGCCUGGGUGGCUCGGUCGGUUAAGUGUCCGACUUUGGCUCAGGUCAUGGUCUCACCGUCUGUGAGUUCAAGUCCCACUUCGGGCUCUGUACUGACAGCUCAGAGCCUAGAGCCUGCUUCAGAUUCUGUGUCUCCCUCUCUCUCUGCCCCUCCCCUGCUCAUGCUCUGUCUCUGUCUCAAAAAUAAAUAAAAACACUAAAAAAAUUAAAAAAACUGCAAUGAAUGUGUGAAUAUCUAUAAAUGCAGACAAACAUAUACUUAAUGAAUUGAAUAAAUUAAAACCCAGAUUUUACAAUCUGGACUUUUCUUCUUUUUAAAUACUUUUUCUUAAUUUAAAUCCAAUUUAUUUAACAUAUAGUGUAAUAAUGAUUUUAGGAAUAGAAUUUAGUGAUUCAUCACUUACAUACAACACCCAGUGCUCAUCCCUACAAGUGCCCUCCUUAAUGCCCAUAGCCCAUUUAGCCCAUCUCCCCACCCAACACCUCGCCAGCAACCCUCAGUUUGCUCUCUGUAUUUAAGAGUCUCUUAUGUUGUAUCCCCUCCCUGUUUUUAUAUUAUUUUUGUUUCCCUUCCCUUAUGUUUAUCUGUUUUCUAUCUUAAAGUCCUCAUAUGAGUGAAGUAAUAUGAUACUUGCCUUUCUCUGACUAAUUUUGCUUAGCAUAAUACCCUCCAGUUCUACCCACAUAGUUGUAAAUGGCAAGAUUAGCAGGCCUCUCUUCAUGUGUAGCUUAACCAUUCAAAUCUAACCCUUUGGACAAAUAUAAUGUACUUAAAAAUAACACAAGUCUUAUUCAACAAUACACAAUGUAUUUCUUAAGCACAGCAGAUACAUACUAUCAUUUGUAGCCUAUCCUCCCCCCCCCCAUAUUCUUUUCAUCUGUGUUCAUUCUUCAUAGACCAUAGCGUCUAGUGACAAAGACAGUAUUAAACAAGUCAAUUAAUUAAUAAUUUAAAAUUAUAAUAAGAGGUAUGAAGAAGACAAAUAAGGCCUUCUGAAACUCUAUAAGAUAGGGUACAUAAUUUAGAUAGAAAGCAGGAAAUAGAUUUCUGAGUAAGAGAUAAACUGAGACUGUAGAAAAAAUAAAAGUUAGUCAUUGGAAACAUAGGGUGAAGUGUUGGAGGAGGGGAACUUGAGUAGUAAUUGAGUGGUCCAGGAAGAAAGAUCAGCAUGUGCAAAGAUCCGAUGGUAGGAGAACACAGAACACACUUGAAAGGAAGUGUAGCAAGGAAGAUAAAUCACAGUAUGUGAUGACGGGAGGAAGCGGGUAGAGCUGGAGGACACAGGUCAAUUAGAGCCAGCUAAGAACCCCAACACAUUCUCUCUUCCACAUAUGAAAUCAUUUUUUGCUCUUCACAACUUCCACACUCAUAUAAUGUUCAACAAGUUCCUUCCUCUUUGGCAGGACAUUCCCUCCCUGUGAAAUCCCCACCACAGAAACCCAUGUGUGUGUGCGAGCGUAUUUUUCUUAGUUAUUAGUAAGCAUGCUGUUGAAAACUGAUGAUACUAGCUCAUAAUUUUAAAGACACAUCACCUGAAUAUUCUUCCUUUCUAAAAUAGUUUGAAAGCCCUCUGCACUGAAUGCGUGUGUGUAUGUAUGUGUAGUGGGUUCAGAAAGUAAAAUGUUUAAUGAAAACUACUUUGGAAUAAAAUUCACCUAUGGUAAAGUUUGUAAACAUCUAUGAAAAAUUUUGGCUGUAAUUAUGUAAAGCAAUUUGGAAAAACCUUCAGAUACUUGAUUUAUAUAAGAAAGUAUUGUUUAAGAACCAAACUGAUUAUCACCACCCGAUCCCUCUAAAGGGAUAACAUAUUUCAUAUUAAAGGAAAAAUAAAUCUCUCCACUACUGCCUUUUAUUCAAAGACUGACAGGGAUGAGAGAAUAGAAUAAAAUGAAAUGUCAAAGCCUCUGCCAGCUUGUCCAUGCUACUGAAUGGGAAGAGGGGGCAUAAAUAGCCCAUUGUUCUAGCAAAGGCAUUGAAUCUUUGGAUACACAAAAUUAUGCCUGGAGUCUUGCCAAGCAUCAUUUAAAGAACUAAAUUGUUCUGGACACGAAGGUGAUUUGAGUAUCUUUGAGGAAACCUAAGGUGAGGGGUAAGAAAAAGGAGAAGGUUGGUUCUAAUGAAAGAGUCUUGAAAAGAAGGGGGGAUGAGCAAUGAGCACCUCCAUGAUAGAAAACCAGUUUGUUCUCAAACCUUUAAUGAGAUAUGCUCUUCCCACAAGUGGUUUGUAUAAAGCUUGUUUUAUUAUGUUUGCGUGUAUGCCUCUGUGUGUGCGUGUGUGUGCGUGUGUGUGUCAGUGUGUGUAUGCCUCUGUAUGUGCACGUGUGCGUGUGCAUGUGAGUGUGAGUGGGUGUGUGUAAAGAAUCUAAUAAAAUAAGGUUGGACUCUAUGUUCACAAAACAGUAAAGGGAAAGUGAUAGCCAAGGACUAUAAGAUUCAAGUAAAAUGUAUAGUUCGGAAGUAAGAAAAAGUCAGAAGCAGAACUAAUUCUAAAACUGGAAGUCCCCUGGAAAUUAACAGAAAUCUUGGGUAAGGCCUUAUAAUAGCAACAGAACUAGGUUGGGACAAUCACAACAUCUUUAAUUUCAAAGAACAAUUGAAUUUCAUCAACUAAUAAACAAUACAAACUCAGAAGCUAGAAUUAAAAUUACCUCUCUGGCCAAAAGAAAAGCUUUUUUUAAGGAUAAAGCACACCUAAUAAUCAUAGGAUUACUUUAUUGUCCUAAAAAUAUAUUUCACUUUCUAUGAAACAGUCCUUGAAGAACUAGUAGCAUAGAUAUAUCUUUGUUUUACAAAGCUAAGCACAGUCUUUCUAUAUGAUCCAACAAUCAUGUCUUAGGUAUAUAUACCCAAAGGAGUUAAAAAGUUAUGUCCACAUAAAAACCUAGCCUACAACCCAGCAAUUGCACCACUCAGUAUUUAUCCAAAGGAUACAAAAUGCUGAUUCAGAAGGGCACAUACACCCCAGUGUUUAUAGCACUGCUAUCCACAAUAGUCAAGUUAUGGAAAGAGCCCAAAUGUCUGUCGACUGAUGAAUGAAUAAAGAAUAGGUGGUAUAGAUAUACAAUGGAAUAUUACUCGAUGAUCAAAAAGAAUGAGAUCUUGCCAUUUGCAACAACGUGGAUGGAACUAGACACUAUUAUGCUAAGUGAACUAAGUCAGUCAGAGAGAGACAAAGACCAUAUGAUUUCACUCACAUGUGGAAUUUAAGAUACAAAACAGCUGGACAUACAGGAAGGGAAGGAAAAAGAAGAUAAAAACAGAAAGGGAACAAAACCAUAAGAGACUCUUAAACACAGAGAAUAAACUGAGGGUUGCUGGAGGAUUCUGGGUGGGAGGAUGGGUGGUGGGCAUUAAGGAGGGCACUUGUUGGGAUGAGCACUGAGUGUUAUAUGUAAGUGAUGAAUCACUAAAUUCUACUACUAAAGCCAUCAUUAUGCUAUAUGUUAACUACCUUGGUUUAAAUAAAAUUUUCAAAAUUCAAAAUAAAUAAAUAAACAUGUAAAUAACUUGCACAUGACUUUUUAUAGCAACUCUAUUUAUAAGUGCCAAAAAUUGACAUUUUAAAAUGGCUGAUAUUUUCUCUGCUCUUACGUAAUUUAUUAUUAUAGAUGUAAUCAUAUAAAAUGUAAGGAUUAAAUGAGGGCAAGCAGAAGAAUAGUGAGACUUAGGAAUGACUUGCCUAUUCAAUGCAUAGGAAAGGAAACGAGGUCCCAGAAAGAACAGCAAAAAAAAUGUUGAACUAGCUAGCUACUGAGCUAUCAUCUUUCUGCUUCAAUCUUUUCCACCCUUUGCACUAAGUGGGUGACUAGUCAACUGUAAAUUGUUGGAGAUUGUUGUCAAUCAUGCAUUACUCUUCCCUUCCAGGUGCUACACAACUAACAAUAAUUACGAGAAGAGAAAUGAGGAUCAGUUUCACAAACGAUAAAUUAGAAAAGGUUUUGGACUUGAAGCCCAAAUGAAGAAUCACCUUAUUCCCUCUCCCUCGACUAAAGAUAACCCUCUUCUACUAAGUGCCUGGAUUACCUAAUCAGA
Molecule: long non-coding RNA, 18968 nt
Filed under: Lynx pardinus (Iberian lynx)
Lineage: Eukaryota; Metazoa; Chordata; Mammalia; Carnivora; Felidae
Source: RNAcentral